RNAcentral lists this unclassified non-coding RNA (400 nucleotides) under uncultured fungus. RNAcentral describes it as "sequence contains ITS1". The stretch from base 1 to 103 matches the Rfam family "5.8S ribosomal RNA", at positions 50 to 154 of the family's 154-position model. Lineage: Eukaryota; Fungi. The record is from RNAcentral.
AAGCUGCGAUACGUAAUGUGAAUUGCAGAAUUCAGUGAAUCAUCGAAUCUUUGAACGCAAAUUGCGCCAAUGGUCUCCCGUUGGCAUGCCUGUCUGAGUGUCAUUUUCACACCAUCUCGUUCAUUUCCUUUUUUCAAAAGAGAAAAGAGCGGCCGUGAGGCGGUCCCGGACCCUCUGGUAGUCCGCGUCCCUUCAAAUGACGUAGGCGUGGGCGCAGUGACGAGCAAAAAAAAGUGUCACACCUGCGAUUUUUGGCCUCUGGGGCUGCACAUGUUGGAGCGUAAAAACCUCUGGCGUGUGUGUUUCCUUAUUCUCAAGAAUCGUCGGCGCUUCUUUUUCUCCCAAUUGUGGCCUGCAGCUUUACCCCAUAUAAUACAUUUCUCAUGACCUCAGAUCAGAC